AUUUAAAUAGUUUAAAAAAACAUUACACUUUCAAUGUAAAAAUAAAAUAUUUAUUAUUUUUUUAAAUA
RNAcentral lists this transfer RNA (68 nucleotides) under Eumeta japonica. It matches the Rfam family "tRNA". Rfam says of the family: Transfer RNA (tRNA) molecules are approximately 80 nucleotides in length. Their secondary structure includes four short double-helical elements and three loops (D, anti-codon, and T loops). Lineage: Eukaryota; Metazoa; Arthropoda; Insecta; Lepidoptera; Psychidae. RNAcentral also lists the same sequence under 1 other name. The record is from Rfam by way of RNAcentral.